GGCUGGCAUGGCCAUGUGGCUGGCACGCGUAAAACCACCCCUGGGUUCCGGCUGGUGGAGAAGUAUGCCAUGUUGGUGGGCGGCUUGUCCAUGCACAGACAGGAUCUGAGUGGGAUGGUGAUGCUGAAAGACAAUCAUAUAUGGGCAUCAGGGAGUAUCACACAGGCAGUGAGGGACGCCCGCUCGGUGUGUGGCUUCAGCAGUAAGAUUGAGGUGGAGUGCGGCAGCCGUGAGGAGGGCAGUGAGGCGGCCACGGCAGGAGCCGACAUUGUCAUGCUGGACAACUUUAAGCCACAGGUGAGACUGAUGAAGGACUUCCCAAAGCCAUCAGGGAAGUAAUGUAAGUAAUGUAGAGACGUACUGGAGGGCUUAUGAUAAAGCAGAAGAAAUAUUUCCGUUGGACAUUCAUGUACAUUGGACUAUCAAUGUAAUAUUCUUCUUCCUCCUGUAUGUCAGUGCUGUGCAUUUCGUUCAAUCUCUUCUUUCCUACACGGUCUCUUCCCGCACUCGUCUCUUCCGGCCUCUAUUCCUCGUCUGUCCCUUCCUCUCUCAGGAACUCCAUGCAGCAGCCCAGCUUCUGAAGGAGGAGUUCCCUUUUGUGCUAAUCGAGGCCAGUGGAGGGGUGACCUCAGACUCCCUGCCCCAGUAUUUCUCCCCCCAUGUGGACAUCAUCUCUCUGGGCUGCAUCACCCAGGGCUGCCCAGUGGUAGACUUCUCCCUCAAGAUUGAUCAAGAAAUGGGAGUGACCUGCUGCCAUGAAGAGGAACUCAAUGAGGAAAUGGACUGGAAUUAUGAAGUGACAGAUGGUGUUUCCCCUGCAGCAAAGGACAAUGUGGAUGGAGAUUUUACAGAUCUCAUCAAAAACUUCCACCAUCUGAACAUGUAUGGAGAUGAGAAGAUGGACUGGGUUGAUCAGGAAAUUGGAGUGACCUGCUGUCAGGAGGAGGACCACAAUGAGGAAAUGGACUGGAUCACCUCAAGAAAUCCCAGCUUCUGCAUCUGGAGAGAAAGAAAAGAUGAGGAAGACAGCCUUUAAAUGAAGACAGCCUUUAAAUGAAGACAGACUUUAAAUGAAGACAGCCUUUAAAAUCUUCAUUAGCUACCCAUCUGUUGGGUGGCUUGGUCAUCAAAACAUUGGCGUAGUUCACACUCCUGUUGUACAACGCAUCUCACACAUCAGCUGUGAUACACUUUAAGGAUCCUUUAAAUGGGUUUGUCUCCAUACAAACAAAUUGGCAAUAGUUGUGUAAAGAUCAGUUGUAUCACCUCAGUGUGAACUAGGCCACUGUAGCCUAAAUAUGGCAUUGGUACCCUCUUAGGGUUUUGUAAAUACUGUACAGUAGGAUAUAUGGUUAUACAAUCUAGACUGACAUGUAAAUAUGUUGAGUAUCUAUUUAUUUUCUCACUCAUCUGUCGUUUGUUGGCCUCUUUAAUAUUCUGGUAAGUGGUAUAGGUGUAGCCAAAGAGGCUUUAGUAAGUGUAGAUGUAGAUGUUGAUAUAUACACUGAGUGUACAAAACAUUAAGAACACCUGUUUGUAUCAAGAACUUCAACGCUGCUGGGUAUUUCCAUGCAAAAAAAUGUCCCGUGUGUAUCAAGAAUGGUCCACCGCCCCAAACGACAUUCAGCCAAGUUGACACAGCUGUUGGAAGCAUUGGAGUCAACAUGGGCUAGCAUCUCUGUGGAAUGCUUUCGACGCCUUAUAGAGUCCAUGCCCCGAUUAAUUGACGGUGUUCUGAGGGCAAAACGGGGGAACUCAAUAUUAGGAAUGUGUCCCUAUUGUUUUGUACACUCAGUGUAAAUAUUACCCCACAGCAUUCACUCUUCCCAUUAGUCCUUGGAUGUAUUUUUGUGUAGCUAAUUCUCCUCAGAAAAGUACAUCUGCUGUCUAUUUGUUUGUAAAUAUUUAUGUGUUCAGUGUCUUGUCUCCUUGUCAAAUGAGUGUCUGUCAAUUUAGUUGUAUUUCUGUAUCACAUUAAGUUAUCCUUCGAACAGGGAAAGGGUGGUGCCUAGUGGGGGUGGAGGGGUAAAAUAAAUCAACACAAACUAUGAAGUACUGAUAUUCA
This 2065-nucleotide long non-coding RNA is filed under the name Salmo salar (Atlantic salmon). Its description in RNAcentral is "lncRNA (ENSSSAG00000115088.1)". Lineage: Eukaryota; Metazoa; Chordata; Actinopteri; Salmoniformes; Salmonidae. The record is from RNAcentral.